CCUACGGGAGGCAGCAGUGGGGAAUUUUGGACAAUGGGCGCAAGCCUGAUCCAGCAAUGCCGCGUGGGUGAAGACGGCCUGCGGGUUGUAAAGCCCUUUUAGUGGGGAAGAAAGCCUCGAGGGGAACAGCCUCGGGGGGUGACGUUACCCACCGAAAAAGCACCGGCCAACUCCGUGCCAGCAGCCGCGGUAAUACGGAGGGUGCGAGCGUUAAUCGGAAUUACUGGGCGUAAAGCGCGUGUAGGCGGCCUUGCAAGCCAGACGUGAAAGCCCUCGGCUUAACCGGGGAAGUGCGUCUGGAACUGCUCGGCUCGAGUACGGGAGAGGGAGGCGGAAUUCCCAGUGUAGAGGUGAAAUUCGUAGAUAUUGGGAGGAACACCGGUGGCGAAAGCGGCCUCCUGGACCGAUACUGACGCUGAGGUGCGAAAGCGUGGGUAGCAAACAGGAUUAGAUACCCUGGUAGUCCACGCCGUAAACGAUGUCAACUAGCCGUUGGAUCCGCUUUAAGGGUUUAGUGGCGCAGCUAACGCGAUAGGUUGACCGCCUGGGGAGUACGGCCGCAAGGUUAAAACUCAAAGGAAUUGACGG
RNAcentral lists this ribosomal RNA (588 nucleotides) under uncultured bacterium. Its description in RNAcentral is "bacterial SSU rRNA". It matches the Rfam family "Bacterial small subunit ribosomal RNA", at positions 338 to 916 of the family's 1533-position model. The record is from RNAcentral.